UACGGGGGGGGCAAGCGUUGUUCGGAAUUACUGGGCGUAAAGGGCUCGUAGGCGGCCAACUAAGUCAGACGUGAAAUCCCUGGGCUCAACCCAGGAACUGCGUCCGAUACUGGUUGGCUUGAAUCCGGGAGAGGGAUGUGGAAUUCCAGGUGUAGCGGUGAAAUGCGUAGAUAUCUGGAGGAACACCGGUGGCGAAGGCGACAUCCUGGACCGGUAUUGACGCUGAGGCGCGAAAGCCAGGGGAGCAAACGGG
RNAcentral lists this ribosomal RNA (253 nucleotides) under uncultured bacterium. RNAcentral's name for it is "partial 16S ribosomal RNA". It matches the Rfam family "Bacterial small subunit ribosomal RNA", at positions 524 to 776 of the family's 1533-position model. The record is from RNAcentral.